This 760-nucleotide ribosomal RNA is filed under the name uncultured bacterium. Its description in RNAcentral is "bacterial SSU rRNA". It matches the Rfam family "Bacterial small subunit ribosomal RNA", at positions 8 to 796 of the family's 1533-position model. The record is from RNAcentral.
AGAGUUUGAUCCUGGCUCAGGAUAACCGCUGGCGGCGUGCCUAACACAUGCAAGUCGAACGCUCUCUAGCAAUAGAGGGAGUGGCGGACGGGUGAGUAGCACAUGGGAAUCGACCCACACGUGAGGAAUACCACCGAGAAAUCGGUGACAAUACCGCAUACGCUCGGGCAACCGAGCAAAGCUCUUCUUCGGGAGGGCGCGCGUGGACGAGCCUGUGCCUGAUUAGUUGGUUGGUGGGGUAGGAGCCUACCAAGACUACGAUCAGUCGCUGGUCUGAGAGGAUGAUCAGCCACACUGGGAUUGAGAACGGCCCAGACUCCUACGGGGGGCAGCAGUGAGGAAUAUUCGGCAAUGGGGGCAACCCUGACCGAGCAACGCCGCGUGCAGGAAGACGGCCUUCGGGUUGUAAACUGCUUUUCUGGGGGAUGAGCAAGGACAGUACCCCAGGAAGAAGCUCCGGCUAACUACGUGCCAGCAGCCGCGGUAAUACGUAGGGAGCGAGCGUUGUCCGGAGUUACUGGGCGUAAAGCGCACGCAGGCGGUCUUUGGCGUUCGUGCCGACAGCGACUCGCUUACCGAGUCGAGGAGUACGGAAACGGGAAGACUUGAGGGCCACAGAGGGACACGGAACUCCGGGUGGAGUGGUGAAAUGCGUAGAGAUCCGGAAGAACACCAAAGGCGAAGGCAGUGUCCUGGGUGGUACCUGACGCUCAGAGGCGACAGCUAGGGGAGCGAACGGGAUUAGAUACCCCGGUAGUCC